This is a long non-coding RNA of Carassius gibelio (silver crucian carp), 1144 nucleotides long. RefSeq lists it as uncharacterized. The transcript is spliced from 3 exons. NCBI's taxonomy places the organism in Eukaryota, Metazoa, Chordata, Actinopteri, Cypriniformes, Cyprinidae. The record is from RefSeq and is a predicted model, not a curated record.
CUACCAAACACAGCUCAAACAUGAUUCAUUCUGUUACAUAACCACAUAGAUUGGUCAAAUUUGAUGUAAUUUCAUACAUGUCAGUGUGGCUUUCAUUCAAAUGUAAUUUAUCAUAUGAAUGUAAGUGUCAUGCAAAUAUAACUAAGAAACAUCAUGUCUCCUGAAGCAGCAUCUGACCAGUUUUCCUCCAGUAUUUUCACAGUGCAGAAGCUGUGAUGUUUGGUUUUGUUGGAUGUUCUGGACUGUGUUCAUAGGUGCAUUGCUGUAAUGAAAUGUUUAUUUCAUCUCUUUAACCUGAAUUAGGAGUGUGGCAUAUUUAGCAUGAGUCUUUUUAAACCAAAUUAGUGUGUGACUCUUCGGCCUCAUAUUUUAUGGCUCCUCUUUCUUGGAUAAUGGUCAUGUUUUCAGCUUCUGUCAAUCAGUCACUGACAGUGAUGAGGUUUUGACACGCACAUGACAUCAUGGUGUUGUGCACUUACUCUAUAGAGUGAGCUUGAUAAGAUUAGCAUGUGUACAUGAAUUCAUUUCAUAACUCAUUUGCUUUGGCUGAAUGUAAACGUAGCAUAUUCAGGGGUUCACAGUUCUCCAUCAAUCAUAGAAACCAGCAAUGUGAUCCAGUGGCUCGUGGGACUGUUAUAGAUGCUCUGUUUUUCUCUCUAAACCGUAUUUGAUUUUGCAAACAGAAACCAGAGUCCAUUCCGGCCCUCAUUGAGGAAAUUAUUUUCCCACUCUGUGCAGAAGAAUGGAGGAGGAGGAGUGAACAGCUUGUGUUUUACGGCUCUCAGGUUGCGUGUUUAUGAGUAUGCAGUUGUUCCCGGGGCAGGUCUGGGCAUGUUCUCCGGGGAAUGUGGGAAAUUACCUGUUAGACGAUACAGAUUUCCAAGACACUACUCCUGUCACGAUCGGGACACAGGAAAACACAGAGAGAGAUCCAAGUGCAGGAUUCGACGUAAUGUUGACAGAGAGACUCGUUGGAUGUUAUUGAAAAUAUUGUCAUCAUUGAUGAUAUUGCCUUGGAUUUCUCGUAGCCUGAUACAAUUAUUGGCCAAAACCAUGUUCACAAUGGCGGCCUCUUGUGCAUGACUAAACAUAGGACCCCUUCCACCUUGGUGUCCUCGACCCUCAAUCCUAUGUAAAAAAAAAA